This is a non-coding RNA of Podarcis lilfordi (Lilford's wall lizard), 78 nucleotides long. NCBI's taxonomy places the organism in Eukaryota, Metazoa, Chordata, Lepidosauria, Squamata, Lacertidae. The record is from the annotation of a GenBank genome assembly.
AGCUGGAUAGCUCAGUUGGUUAGAGCAUGGUGCUGAUAAUGCCAAGGUUGCAGGUUCAAUCCCCAUAAGGCACAGCUG